AGAGUUUGAUCCUGGCUCAGAACGAACGCUGGCGGCAGGCCUAACACAUGCAAGUCGAGCGCCCCGCAAGGGGAGCGGCAGACGGGUGAGUAACACGUGGGAAUGUGCCCGAAGGUACGGAACAACAGCUGGAAACGGCUGCUAAUACCGUAUGUGACCGAAAGGUGAAAGAUUUAUCGCCUUCGGAUCAGCCCGCGUCUGAUUAGCUAGUUGGUGGGGUAAUGGCCUACCAAGGCGACGAUCAGUAGCUGUUCUGAGAGGAUGAUCAGCCACACUGGGACUGAGACACGGCCCAGACUCCUACGGGAGGCAGCAGUGGGGAAUCUUGGACAAUGGGCGCAAGCCUGAUCCAGCCAUGCCGCGUGGAUGAUGAAGGCCCUAGGGUUGUAAAAUCCUUUCGUCAGGGACGAUAAUGACGGUACCUAAGAAGA
RNAcentral lists this ribosomal RNA (431 nucleotides) under uncultured Pannonibacter sp. RNAcentral's name for it is "bacterial SSU rRNA". It matches the Rfam family "Bacterial small subunit ribosomal RNA", at positions 8 to 488 of the family's 1533-position model. Lineage: Bacteria; Pseudomonadati; Pseudomonadota; Alphaproteobacteria; Hyphomicrobiales; Stappiaceae. The record is from RNAcentral.